Cannabis sativa is the source of this 969-nucleotide long non-coding RNA. RefSeq lists it as uncharacterized. NCBI's taxonomy places the organism in Eukaryota, Viridiplantae, Streptophyta, Magnoliopsida, Rosales, Cannabaceae. The transcript is spliced from 2 exons. The record is from RefSeq and is a predicted model, not a curated record.
UGUCCGUCGUUUUAGCUGCUCGUGCGUGAGCUUUGAGUUUUUACUCCUUUCAUUCUCGGUAUAGUUGGCCGAGAGUUGAGUUGUACUCCUAACUAGUAAAAGAUUUUUGCGAUUUUGUUUCUGUCUAACUUGUAGGGUUUUCCUUUUCAGUUAAUCAUGAAUGGAUUUUGUGAUUUUUUUUUUAAAAAAAAAAAAAAUCAUUGUAAAUCUUAAUCGAUAGGGGAAGCAUAGAGCGUAAUUACAGAGAUACCCCUGACGGCGUCAAUUGUCUAUAAAAGACAGAAGUAACGCAUACGUACGUACGCUUUGGUGGGAUGAACAGAGACAUUAUUAUCAGUUUCUCCUAAUUAAAUACCUUUCUUCCAACUUUUUCACCGUUUCUCAUUCUCUCUCUCUCUUCCCCACCUAAAACUCACUCCUCUUUUUGUUUAAUCUCACCUUCGUUCCAUAAAUAUUUACCAGUUACCAAACUCAACUCACUCACAAUAACAUCAAAACAAUAGGUCUCAAAGAAAAAUCUCAUCACACCUUGACUUGACCCUUCAUAUAUAUGCACCAAGAGACCUAAAACGGCAUCGUUUAAAGUAUAUUUCUGGUGUCUCUUCUGGUGCUGCCGCUUGUUUUGCCGGCGCCUCUGCCACCUCCGCCGUUGAUGCUCUUGUUCAUUCCGGUUCUCUUGCUGCUUCUUUUGAUUUUCUUAGCUUUGUCGCCUGUGGCCCAGCUGCCUAGUGCUGUCGACACCCGACUUUGAUUAUAUUAUAUUUUAUGAACAAAUUAAAUUCUACCUAAUCGCAUUUCUUUGUAAAUAUGCAUGCAUCGAUCCUUUUCAUUUCUUUUUUUUAUUAUUAUAAUUUUUUAUUUUCACCAGUAAUAUUUCUUCUUUGUUCCUCUUUCUUCUUCUGAUAUACCCAAUGCACAAAGGGUAAUUGUUAAUUAUAUGAUGAAAAUAUGAGACCUUUUCUUUGAAUU